This 468-nucleotide ribosomal RNA is filed under the name uncultured bacterium. RNAcentral's name for it is "partial 16S ribosomal RNA". It matches the Rfam family "Bacterial small subunit ribosomal RNA", at positions 28 to 507 of the family's 1533-position model. The record is from RNAcentral.
GAUGAACGCUGGCGGCGUGCCUAACACAUGCAAGUCGAACGGAAAGGCCCUGCUUUUGUGGGGGGCUCGAGUGGCGAACGGGUGAGUAACACGUGAGUAACCUGCCUUUGACUUGGGGAUAACUUCAGGAAACCGGGGCUAAUACCGGAUAGGAGCUCCUGCGACAUGGUGGGGGUUGGAAAGCUCCGGCGGUUGGGGAUGGACUCGCGGCUUAUCGGCUUGUUGGUGGGGUAGUGGCUUACCAAGGCUUUGGCGGGUAGCCGGCCUGAGAGGGUGACCAGCCACAUUGGGACUGAGGUACGGCCCAGAGGCCUACGGGGGACAGCAGUGGGGAGUAUGACACAAUGAGCGGAAGCCUGAUGCAGCAGCGCCGCGUGCGGAAUGACGGCCUUCGGGUUGUAAACCGCUUUCGCCUGUGACGAAGCGUGAGUGACGGUAAUGGGUAAAGAAGCACCGGCUAACUACGUG